AACGAACGCUGGCGGCAGGCUUAACACAUGCAAGUCGAGCGCCCCGCAAGGGGAGCGGCAGACGGGUGAGUAACGCGUGGGAAUCUACCGUACCCUACGGAAUAGCUCCGGGAAACUGGAAUUAAUACCGUAUACGCCCUACGGGGGAAAGAUUUAUCGGGGUAUGAUGAGCCCGCGUUGGAUUAGCUAGUUGGUGGGGUAAAGGCCUACCAAGGCGACGAUCCAUAGCUGGUCUGAGAGGAUGAUCAGCCACAUUGGGACUGAGACACGGCCCAAACUCCUACGGGAGGCAGCAGUGGGGAAUAUUGGACAAUGGUCGCAAGCCUGAUCCAGCCAUGCCGCGUGAGUGAUGAAGGUCUUAGGAUUGUAAAGCUCUUUCACCGAUGAAGAUAAUGACGGUAGUCGGAGAAGAAGCCCCGGCUAACUUCGUGCCAGCCGCCGCGGUAA
RNAcentral lists this ribosomal RNA (447 nucleotides) under uncultured bacterium. RNAcentral's name for it is "partial 16S ribosomal RNA". It matches the Rfam family "Bacterial small subunit ribosomal RNA", at positions 29 to 523 of the family's 1533-position model. The record is from RNAcentral.